AACAAGAUCACCACAGACAGCAAGUAGCUCUUGCCAGCUCCAAAAACACCUGGUAUUUUGGAAGAAAAAGCCCAAGUUACAAAAAGAAACCUUUACUCUUUAAAUACAGAGAAAACAUGUUAAAUCCUGCUGAACUCCUGAGCUACUGGAAUAUUUAUAAACCCUGAAUUCAUACAGCACUUGAGAGGAGUGCACAGCAUUCCAGGAUACCUCACCAAAAGCUGACAUUCCUCAUAGACAGCAAUCUUUUGACUCCUGAGUGCAUCUGAUCAAAGGAGCAGAAAAAAACAAGUCACACAUUAUGAAGUUCUGUGACAAAGGUUGUUCAGCUGAAUCUGGAAGCCUUUGAGCAUUCCAGUCCUUUUCAUCAUUUACAGUUCCCUGUAUAAAAGG
Molecule: long non-coding RNA, 393 nt
Organism: Oenanthe melanoleuca
Lineage: Eukaryota; Metazoa; Chordata; Aves; Passeriformes; Muscicapidae
Exons: 4
Source: RefSeq, a predicted model, not a curated record